Molecule: long non-coding RNA, 361 nt
Organism: Oncorhynchus tshawytscha (Chinook salmon)
Lineage: Eukaryota; Metazoa; Chordata; Actinopteri; Salmoniformes; Salmonidae
Source: Ensembl
CCUGGUUAAAUAAAGGUGUUCUCAACUUGCCUACCUGGUUAAAUAAAGGUGUUCUCAACUGGCCUGCCUGGUUAAAUAAAGGUGUUCUCAACUGGCCUCCCUGGUUAAAUAAAGGUGUUCUCAACUGGCCUACCUGGUUAAAUAAAGGUGUUCUCAACUGGCCUACCUGGUUAAAUAAAGGUGUUCUCAACUAGCCUACCUGGUUAAAUAAAGGUGUUCUCAACUGGCCUACCUGGUUAAAUAAAGGUGUUCUCAACUGGCCUACCUGGUUAAAUAAAGGUGUUCUCAACUGGCCUACCUGGUUAAAUAAAGGUGUUCUCAACUAGCCUACCUGGUUAAAUAAAGGUGUUCUCAACUAGCC